RNA transcript from Cavia porcellus (domestic guinea pig), 3437 nucleotides. It is a transcript of the gene named zinc finger SWIM domain-containing protein 4, with no coding region annotated. The transcript has 4 exons. NCBI's taxonomy places the organism in Eukaryota, Metazoa, Chordata, Mammalia, Rodentia, Caviidae. The record is from RefSeq and is a predicted model, not a curated record.
GAACCUGCUUCAUUGUUGUGGAGACUUAAGAGCCGCUCCCCUCUCCCCGGCCGCGCAGUGGGUGGGCAUGGGUCCCGGCGGCUGAGCGAGCAGGACAGCAGCCCGGCAGUACGGAGCCGGAGGAGCGCGGCGGGCAUCGGGCCAACCCGCAGGCCUGCCCGGCCCUGUCCCGAGCAUGGAGCCCCUCGCGGCUAAGCAGAGUCGGGGCUGCCCCGGGGGACCGGAGCAGCUGCUGGACCUCAGCGCCAAGCAGGUGGCCGAGAGCUCGGCCUUCGAGCAGGUGCCGGGUGGGGACCCCACCGGGCCCCAGAGCUGCCGUCCCCCUCGACCUGCAUCCCCAGCCCCAUGUCCCUCGCCACCCAGCCUCACCCCACAGGGCACCGACUCUCCCCGUUUCGAUCCCCCAACUCCUGCAGGCAGCCCUCGCCCGGGACACCCCACCUCCUCAAGUGUGAGGCGCCAGGCACUCAGCAUCUCUCCACACCCCAGCUCGGUCAUCCCCGCCGCCCCCCUCCAGUCCCAGCUCGCACCUGCCCGGUGGAGACCCCUUCCCGCUCCCCCAACCCCUCCCCCAUCUGACUCCUUCCAAGAGGGAGCUAGGCAUGGAGGGGGGUAUCGCACAGGUGCACCCCAACCAGCUUGUGGGGCUGCUCCCGGGGUCUCUGCCCUGAGGCCCCGGGGCUGGGGUCCUUCAGGCCCCCUUAGCCCCAGCCUCAGAACAGUCUGCACCCCCAAGCCAGAGCAGCCCCCAUGGGCUCACGGGCUGCCUGACUUCAGGGGGACUUUGCGGGCUCACCAGUUAGGACCCAUGAGUUCAAGUGCGGGGGCUGGAUCUGCCUCUGAUUCAUGGGCUGGAAAAUCCCUCCUCAGUCAUCUGCCAGCUGUAACCCAGCCAGUUGCUGCCCCGCUUCCCUCAGAAACCCAGGCAUGCGGGGGCGCAGGAAGGCCUCCACCCUUCUUUCUUCUUUGUGUGUGCUACCUGCCGCAGGGGCCUGGCCUGGCCGGGUUGGGAGCUCACAGGGCUGGGAGCUCAGAAGAUGUCUGGGCUCUUCUGUAAGCCCCUGGAAGUGCUGCCCUGGCUUUGAGGUAGCUAGGACACAGAGAGGCUGAGAAACCCCUAAGGUCACCAGCCAUUGGGCAGCCAACCCAGACUGGAGCGCAGGCUUGGUGGGGUUCAGUGCCUGGAACCCAGGGAGGUGGCCAGGACUCCUCCUCUGGGCAGGGGCUCAGUGGAACGCUGCACAGAGACCCUGUCCUGGAGUGGGAGCCCCCAGCUCUGAACCUCCUCUGCCAAGCUGUAAAUCAGGGUCACCCUAGAUGAUCAGAUGGUUCAGUUGGCGUGAGAAUUAUGUGAAACCACUUUUUUCUUCCUUGUUCGUUUGUUGAUUUGUUGUUUUGAGGCAGGGACUCCUUCUAUAGUUCAGGUUGGCUUUGAACUCAGCAGUCCUCCUGCACGCGCCAAUUUCUUUCCUUGCUUCCUUUUUUCUGGUCCUGGGGAAUGAACCCAAGGCCUCUCACCCUAGUCACUUCUGUCUGACUUUUUCCCAUCCCCUCGAGGUGGUGAGCUUCAGGGUGGUAACUACAGGCCGGGCACCGCUGAGCACAUGGGGGCUCUGUGUGCUCACUUGAGCCCAGGGCUCACUAAGCUGCCCCAGGCUGAACCUGAGCUUCCAAGCCUCCCGCCUCAGCCUUCUUAGUAGCUGGACUUGGGAUGUAGACAGAAUCCCUAAAAGGUGGUUAACAUCCCAGAGAGGCCAGGCUCCACCCCUGGGUGACCCCUGCUCCCUCCCCCCACAGGUGGAGCUCUGCUCCUGGUGCUGGUGCCACAGGUGCCAGUGCAGAGGCGGAUCACAUUCUGGUCCUUGCCAAGAAGCAGCGAGAGGGACCUGUGUGUGUACUAGUCGCUAGGAUGCCGGGCCGUGGAGGUGCUGGGUGUUUCCUGAUUUUGUGAUUUCUGGAACAUGUCUACCACGUGGCAGUCAGCUUUGACCACUGCAAGAUCAGGACUGUGAGCUGCAGCUGCCCCCGCUGGAACCUCCUCUACUGCCCACACUCAGUGGCCCUGACCUGUACCACCUCUGCCGAGCCUGCCAGGUGGAGCCGCAGCUGCCCAUCUCCAAGACACUGACCAGAUGGACCGAGACCAGCUGCAGAAGCUGGGGCAGGACCUCAUCAGUGCCUGGCUGAGGAGGUGCUGCUGGACUCGCAGACCAGCCAGCGGCACGACACACUGGAACUCGAACCCAGAGCCUCACACCGGUUAGGUGAGCCCUACCUCGGAGCCGCACCCUCAGUGCUUCUGAAUUUGUGUUCAUAGAGACAGGGUCAUGCAGCACUAUCGAGUGGCCUCGAACUGGCGCUCCUCCUGCGUCAGCCUCUCGAGUAGCAGGGAUGACAGCCUCCUGCCACAGGCUGGCCAUGAUGGUCAUGGCGCUAACCUCGCUGGUUCUCAGCAGGAAACCGCGCGGGGAAGGCCACCCAAGCGCAGCACGAGGGAAGGGGGGCCGCUGUCCUUCUAGGUGACUUCUGCCCUCCCCAGGCUGCCCGUCCUAGAGACCGAAUUUCCAGCUGGAGAUUCUCGCCCCAGCACUCUGGACUCUGUCACCAGCCACCGCUCAUCCCACUGCUUCAUCCCGAGCUACCUGGAGAUGCGAUAGGGCGAACUGGUGUCCACGCUGCUGACGGCCGCCAAGGGGACCCCAAGUGGCUGCACGCUGUCCUGGCUUCCAUCCAGCAGAACAUCCACUCCCCAGCUCUGCUCUUCAGGCUGGCGAAAAACGUCAGCAAGACAGCCACCCCGGCCAGGUCGCCUCCGGACGUCACGCUGCUGGGCAUAGCGCUGGAGCCGGGCCUGCAGAUGCGAGGCCAGGGCGGCGCCUCGCGCGAGCCCGCCCUUGGGGCGGGGCCUUGUGGGAGCACCGCCUUUUGGGUGGGGCCUUAUGGGAGCUCCGCCUCGGGGCGGGGUCUGAAUGGCACAGGCUCAGUGAGUAAAGGUUCAAGUUCACCUAGCAACCUCAAGGUCCUGAGUUAAAUCCCUAGCACACAAAAAACAAAAACCGGAGGAAGCCAGGUAGUGCCCUGUAAUUCCACACAUUCUGGAGGCUUAGGCAGGAGGACCCAAGCUGUAGGCCCUCUACUGGGCUAUGGGUGUGGCUCAAGCCUGGCCUGGCCAGCCUGUGGCCUUGGGUUUCAUCCUGAUCACGAAGUGAGGGGAGGGUGGGGCCAAGCCAGCCAGUAAGGCGCUGCCUUGGGGGUGUGGCCUGAAGAGAGACGGGGCAGAGGGCGGGAUGCUGCGCUUCAGGCUUAGGAGCAGAGCAUUGGGGCUCUGGCCCUCAGCAAAGUUCCUGGGGAUAUACUUCUGUGGCACAAGUACCCAACUGGCAAGUGCAAGGUCCUGAGUUCCAGUCCUGGUACCAAAAUAAAUUUUUAUUCUAUGA